GCUUCGGUGGUACAGUGGUAGAGCACGCGUCCCCCGAUAGGAUAAAACGCGGAUUCGAUUCCCGUCUGAGGUC
Molecule: non-coding RNA, 73 nt
Organism: Parelaphostrongylus tenuis
Lineage: Eukaryota; Metazoa; Nematoda; Chromadorea; Rhabditida; Metastrongylidae
Source: the annotation of a GenBank genome assembly